Small nucleolar RNA from Zalophus californianus (California sea lion), 109 nucleotides. Ensembl annotates it as small nucleolar RNA U13. NCBI's taxonomy places the organism in Eukaryota, Metazoa, Chordata, Mammalia, Carnivora, Otariidae. The record is from Ensembl.
AUCCUUUUGUAGUUCAUAAACGUGAUGAUUGGGUGAUUGGGUAUUCAUGCUAUUGUGUGGCAUGUGCCUCCCUCAAACCUUGUUACCACCUAAAAUGCCUAAAAUGAAA